Gossypium raimondii (Peruvian cotton) is the source of this 822-nucleotide long non-coding RNA. RefSeq lists it as uncharacterized. Lineage: Eukaryota; Viridiplantae; Streptophyta; Magnoliopsida; Malvales; Malvaceae. The record is from RefSeq and is a predicted model, not a curated record. The transcript is spliced from 3 exons.
AGUUGAAAUCCCCCAAAUUUCCCAUUUCCAACAAUACCUUUUUCCUUUUCAUUUCACUGCACUGAAACGCUAGAUGAGAAGAAAUCCUAGAUGAGAAGAAAUCGGAGGAAGAGGAGUUGAAAGAUAAAGAAAACGAAGAGGGGAGUAAGGGGGUUUUUGCGCUUUGUUUCCCCCCCCUUUCUUUUACAUUGCCUUACUAAGAUGCCAUUGGCUGUUCGCUGAAAUAAAGAGAUAAAAAAAAGGUUGAAGAAGGUGAAGAAUCUUUGUUUCAGUUUCUUUUUCUGUCUUUGCUUAAAAGAAAUCUUUUUUCUUCUUCUACUUUUUUUGUUGUGUAAAUACGCGUAGGUGUAGGAAUUUUCUCCUAUAAUACCGGUCGUCCCCUUAUCCUACGCCGACAAUUAGAGUCAGAGUCAAAUACAGGUCAAUCUAUCAUGAAAUCAGCAUCAAUUCUCAAGCUACAUUCGGUUGUAGGGUUAAAGGUCGAGUUGUGCAGGUUGCUGGAAUAGAAAAGAUCAGCUGUUCUCAGGUUGCAAGACACAUUGGAUCGCCUGGCAGCAAAACUAGAGUCAGUGUAUAAAGCAUCAGGGGGAAAAAGAUAAAUAUCAUAAGUCAUUCUAUGGGGGGUCUUCUGGUAAAAUGUUUCAUGGGCCUUCACAGUGAUGUAAGCUAUCUAUUGCAUCUCCUAUCUCCUCAUUUUGGCUAUCUACAUGUUCACAUUUGAUUAGCUUAAAUGGUCACGCAGAAUUUUUUUUAAAUAGAAAUGAUCAAGGGGCUAAAGUGACCAAAAAAUAGUAAAAGAGUCAAAAUGAUAAUUUUACUAUA